Molecule: small nuclear RNA, 305 nt
Filed under: Felis catus (domestic cat)
Lineage: Eukaryota; Metazoa; Chordata; Mammalia; Carnivora; Felidae
Description: 7SK RNA
Rfam family: 7SK RNA
About the family: 7SK was discovered as an abundant small nuclear RNA in the mid-70s but a possible function has only recently been suggested. Two independent studies have found that 7SK RNA binds the CDK9/cyclin T complex (known as elongation factor P-TEFb).
Source: Rfam by way of RNAcentral
GGAUGGGAAGGCAAUCUGGCUGCAACAUCUGUCACCCUAUUGAUCACCAGGGCUGAUUUGGCUGAUCUAGCUGGCUAGGCCCAUCUCCCCUUCCUCCCUCAAUGCUCCAUGUGCAUUUCCUGAGGCUGCACACUGGGUUGAAGAGGAUGCCGUUUUGUCAAGGGUGUAGGAAUGGCCGCACUCCACUGCUAGAGCCUCCAAACAGGCUCUCAAGCUCCAUUUGUAGGAGAACAUAUGGUAGUCUAGCUUCUAAGACUCCAGACACAUCUGAAUGAGGUGCUGCAUGUGGCAGUCUGCUUUUCUUU